AUUGAACGCUGGCGGCAGGCCUAACACAUGCAAGUCGAGCGAGCGGCGGACGGGUGAGUAAUGUAUGGGGACUGCCCGAUAGAGGGGGAUCACUACUGGAAACGGUGGCUAAUACCGCAUACUAUCGGAUAACCCAUAUGGGAUUAGCUGGUAGGGGGGGUAAAGGCUCACCUAGGCGACGAUCUCUAGCUGGUCUGAGAGGAUGAUCAGCCAAACUGGGACUGCAACAGGGCCCAGACUCCUACGGAGGAAACGGUGGGAAAGAUUGGACAAGGGGCACAAGCCUGAUGAGGCCAUGCCGCGUAUGUAAGGAGGGCCUUGGGGUUGUAAAGUACUUUCAGCGGGGAGGCGUUACCGGCAGAGGAAGCACCGGCUAACUCCGUGCCAGCCGCCGCGGUAAUAC
This 403-nucleotide ribosomal RNA is filed under the name uncultured bacterium. Its description in RNAcentral is "partial 16S ribosomal RNA". It matches the Rfam family "Bacterial small subunit ribosomal RNA", at positions 29 to 526 of the family's 1533-position model. The record is from RNAcentral.